UUUAGUCAGCACGAUCGGUGGUGC
RNAcentral lists this microRNA (24 nucleotides) under Amborella trichopoda. RNAcentral's name for it is "atr-miR8598". Lineage: Eukaryota; Viridiplantae; Streptophyta; Magnoliopsida; Amborellales; Amborellaceae. The record is from miRBase by way of RNAcentral.